RNAcentral lists this ribosomal RNA (301 nucleotides) under uncultured bacterium. RNAcentral describes it as "partial 16S ribosomal RNA". It matches the Rfam family "Bacterial small subunit ribosomal RNA", at positions 509 to 807 of the family's 1533-position model. The record is from RNAcentral.
CAGCCGCCGCGGGAAUACGGAGGGUGCAAGCGUUAAUCGGAAUUACUGGGCGUAAAGCGCACGCAGGCGGUUUGUUAAGUCAGAUGUGAAAUCCCCGGGCUCAACCUGGGAACUGCAUUUGAAACUGGCAAGCUAGAGUCUCGUAGAGGGGGGUAGAAUUCCAGGUGUAGCGGUGAAAUGCGUAGAGAUCUGGAGGAAUACCGGUGGCGAAGGCGGCCCCCUGGACGAAGACUGACGCUCAGGUGCGAAAGCGUGGGGAGCAAACAGGAUUAGAUACCCGGGUAGUCCCUGUCUCUUAUAC